Acanthosepion pharaonis is the source of this 113-nucleotide non-coding RNA. Lineage: Eukaryota; Metazoa; Mollusca; Cephalopoda; Sepiida; Sepiidae. The record is from the annotation of a GenBank genome assembly.
CUGCGGUCAAAUCACAUUGAAACUACGAUUCCCUAACGAUCACGGAAGUUAAGCAACGUUGAGUCUGGUCAGUACCUAGAUGGGAACCGCUUGGGAAUACCAGGAGCUGUAAG